ACGUCCUGACCAACACUAAAACACAACAGAACUAUGGUCAGAACGUGACAAUGGUAGUCUGGCCAAUGCUGCUGAAAAAGGUUUUUGAAGAACCACUUUCACUAUCUGGGGUACACGGAGAAAGUGCGAAUUAAAAGCGAGGGUCGACUUCUGUCUGAGGUCAGUUUCAUGAAGAAGGAUGAAAAGGUGAGGGCGUUCAAUACCAACUGGUAUCGAAAGUAUAGUUGGUUAACAGGGAGCCUUUCACCAAGUUGCCUGUAUUGCUGGCCUUGCCUGCGUUUUUGGGCAUGCAAGAAUUUGCUUUUAGAGGACACGACGAGAUGGACAUUUCCGCCGACGGGCAACUACAAGGACCUUGCAGAGCUAAGUCCCCUCCUGUUCCCUGAUUUAAGAGGUAAUGACUACUCUUCUCCACUUCCUUUGUCAACUUUCUCCUGACAUGAACUGAAGCCACGUCUCAUGUGCCUGCUCAUCCAUUGGCACAUUGAAUGUUCCCCUCCAAUUACUGCCAAACCUUCUAUCUGAAUGGACUGCUGACUAACUGGCUGGAGAAGAAAAUGAGGGAGGCCGACCAGCUCCAAGAGGUGUGUUAGGAGGGUCGAUGAGAUCAAGAAGAUCCAAAUCCUGAGGACCGGCAGCGUCCAGUGCUUAGCCCAGCAUGCUGGCGAGAGAACAGCCCUGAGUAUACGGUUAGAGACUGGCUUAAUGAAAUCUCCAUGACGGGCCGCUCUUCUCUUACGACCUUGGCUGGCCAAACCACCGCCUCUCACAGCCGGCGCUCCACCAGUUGUGGAGUACUUGCCUUACCGGUACCCCCACCUGGCUCCCAUUACCACCUGGAGUCUUACGACAGAGGAUGACGCCAAGUCUCCCAGCCCUGACUGGCCUCUCCGGUUGCCCUGUGAUCCCCGGUGUCCCAUGAAUGGCGAUGACCAAACCAUUGCCAUGGUCCAUUUCUCUGCUGAUGAUGAUGGAUCUCUGGCCUCUCCCAGCCCUGUAGAGUACUUCAGCCUGGCUCCCACCACUGAUGCCAACCUGAGAGAAUUAGCCAGGAAGCUCAUUCAGGCCCAGGGACAGGAAGUGGUGGUUGUGCAGGAGAAUGAAAUUAUGGGAAGGGGAAAGUAGUCAACCAACAGAGUUAGAAGGAACAGUAGUCAUCACUUUGGCUCUAAAACUUCAGGUGAUUAAUUUUAGAGAGGUGUAGUCAUUUAAAGCUUGUAUUUUAAUCUCUUGUUGACUUAAUUCAGGAAGGGAAAGGCAAGAAAAAGAAGCAAAGGCAGGUAAAAAGCUAGUAAAGGGAGUGGAAAAUAACAGCCAGAAAGAGAAAUAGGCUCCUCAGAAAAAGGCAAAAAGAGUCUGGGGACAUGGUGAGAGACAGCAGUGUGGUCCAGAGAAUAGGUUUAUACUGUCCUGUAGUUCUAGUGUAUGUUUUCACCCUUCAAGUGAUUCUUUUGUUUUUAACACAACCAUGUUUACAAGUCAUGUUCUUAUUCAAACGUAAUCAUAACUCUAACUACAGGUUUAUUCAGUGGCUGCUGCCUAAACCAAUGAAAACCUACCAUACUCACCUUCCUACAUACCCACCCCCACCUAACCAUUCAUCCAUUUAUUUACUUACCCACCUACCAACCAACCUAUCUACUUUAUUCUGUUUUGUCUGCUUAUUUGGGACAUAUUGUGAUUGUUUCAUAUUCUGAUUACAAUUUCAAAGUUAUCAUAUUAAGACAGUCACAGUUCAAUUGGGAAUCACAAAAACAAAAGUCUACACAGAAUGGAAUUUAUUGUGAAAGAAUUUCAAAUUACUGGAGUUAAAUUAGUUCUAAUAGUGGCACUCACGCACAGUGUGCUGCUUUCCAGGAUUAAUAGUGUGAAAUAUGAACAGUGUAUCUAUUAUGUCUCAAAGCUGUUCUUAGUAGUUUCCCCACACUAGUUUCCACUUCUAAGAGCAUUCAAAGGAGGUAAAAGCCAACAUCUAUGAGAAUGGUUGGCACAUGUUUUCAAAACAAUACAUUUAAAAUGUGAGCAAUGACUUGCCAGAUGACAUUGACCCAAGAAACCAAAAAGUGAACCUCUAUUUUGAAAUAUGAAGUGCUGUACUGGUAGUAUGGUGAAAAGCCACACACUACUCGUUAUCUCCCCUACCAUAUAGGGGGGGGAGAGGUCAAGGGUUGACGGAGCAGAGGACAGCUACUUCUCCCUAUACCGUAGGUCACGUGUCGGUCGCUGUGGAGCGAAGAGCAUGCUUCUGCCGCCACAUGUUGAACACCUACAGUAGGGAAACACAGAAACAAACUCUAGCUGUUGUAGCGGGGCACUGCCACUGACCUGCUUCAACCACAGUGAGGUUUGAUAUGCAGUAGCUGAUGGUUCAACCAGGUACAAUCAGAGCCUGUCACAACUCUGCAAAUAGAAGACUCUAGGUAGAACGACAGGAGAACCAAAGAACUCUAUACAUAUAGAGAUUUUAGUUGCCAUAAAAAAUGUCUAUGUUGUAAUAACUAUUAAAGCAUGAUGUUAGAUGGUUCCUCACCCUGGAAGUAGUCUAUGGGCCAGGAGAAACUGUAAUCCAUUGUUGUUUUCUUUAAACAGCCACCACAAGCGAUGGGGAAUGUUUUUUAAAUUUUUUAUGGCCAACUGAAUAUGGAGUUGAUUUGAAGUAACUUCAAGUGAUUUGGACAUAGUGAACUACUCCUUUAACAGGAAACAAAUUGACCUUUGGUAAAGUUAUAGGCUAACCAGAGAUUUUAAAUAAUGCUGACUUCGGUACAACUAUAGAAUAAGAAUGGCUAAUAAUAACUAGUCCUCUAUACAAAAAUACAUGGGAACUUGCUCUGUCUCACCUGCGCAAUGAGGGCUUGGUCCAGUUGCGCGGCAAAGGUCUCAGACACCCGGGUUCUGAUGUGUCUCUUCCUCCAUGUCAGCCACGCCCACUGCUGCAGUCGGUCAGUGUGCUGCAGAGAGGAGUGGUCACACAAACAAAGGAAACUGAAUUACUAUGCCUUACACACAGGUAGUAAUAUGCACUAUAAAAUAUGCAGUAAGCAUUCAUGACAACUUUAAAUGCAUAAAUAGUAACCAUUAAGUUAAGCAAAUACAUUAUAAAACAGAUGGCUCAUUUAAAAAGUGUCACUGUAACCUAAGGUGAAUCCUAAUAAGUCCACUUCUACAAGUGUCCCAACGAGCGGGACAGCACUUUGCUUUCUUACCAGGGUCUUGAGUAGGAGUGCAGCAGCGGUCUGGUCUCUCCAGCUGACCCACAACACCUGGGUGAGUCUCCUCCGAGCUCUUUUCAGCAGCACACCUAAACGCCACCGCCGUAGACACUCCCUUUGGAAGUGAGAGAGGCAAAGUACUUCUGUGAGAGGUGUAGAGAUCGUCUUUUACGCAACUGGACCUGAUGCAGGUGGAAAACAAAGACAAAUAGGACAUUACCUACUUACCUGCUACACAUCAUAAGGGUGACAGCAGGAUACCUCUUGGUGCCAGGUGUGGAGUGAUGAUCUCAGCAGACGACUCCUCUGCCUGGAUUUUGUUCUCUGGACCAGGUCACUUAAGAGAUUAUGGGACACGGUGCGCCUCCUCCAGACACUGAAAGCUGAUUGGGUCUGGUGGGUGCGUAGCCGUGACUCCGCCUUCUGAAAAGUUGACAGGCUCUCCGUCACUACCCUUCGCCAGACCCGAAAAGACCUAUACGGGACAAAAAAAGACAGCAACGAGAUUACCAAUUGGGAAGUAAAGGUCUUGACAUGCCCACAAUCAAAGAAUCCAGGGGCAAGCAAUGUGAUGUAUUACAACUUCAACUGUAAUGGGGCUAAAAAGUUACAGAUGACAUGCACUGUAUGUGAAGCCUACCUGAAGAGAAUGAUAUUUGGCCACUUGGAGGACAAUGGAAGCAGAUUCAAUAAAUACUUAAAGAGGG
Molecule: long non-coding RNA, 3919 nt
Organism: Oncorhynchus kisutch (coho salmon)
Lineage: Eukaryota; Metazoa; Chordata; Actinopteri; Salmoniformes; Salmonidae
Exons: 6
Source: RefSeq, a predicted model, not a curated record